RNAcentral lists this ribosomal RNA (538 nucleotides) under Rhinochimaera pacifica (Pacific spookfish). RNAcentral describes it as "partial 16S ribosomal RNA". It matches the Rfam family "Bacterial large subunit ribosomal RNA", at positions 1849 to 2587 of the family's 2925-position model. The record is from RNAcentral. Lineage: Eukaryota; Metazoa; Chordata; Chondrichthyes; Chimaeriformes; Rhinochimaeridae.
GAGGUCCCGCCUGCCCUGUGACAUUAGUUCAACGGCCGCGGUAUCCUGACCGUGCAAAGGUAGCGUAAUCACUUGUCUUUAAAUGAAGACCUGUAUGAAAGGCCUCACGAGAUUUUACCUGUCUCCCUUCUUCAAUCAGUGAAAUUGAUCUACCCGUGCAGAAGCGGGUAUGUGAACAUAAGACGAGAAGACCCUAUGGAGCUUCAAAUAAAUUAUUAAUAAAAUGAAAUUACAACCCUCAGGGGAUAAGAGUUGGACUUAGCAUAAUAAAAUUAUUUUUGGUUGGGGCAACCACGGGGUAAAGCCUAACCCCCGUAUCGAUUGGGCAAAAAUGCCUAAAAAAUAGAACGACAGUUCUACUUAAUAAAAUAUUUAACGAGUAAUGAUCCAGAGAUAUCUGAUUAAUGAACCAAGUUACCCUAGGGAUAACAGCGCAAUCCUUUCCCAGAGUCCCUAUCGACGAAAGGGUUUACGACCUCGAUGUUGGAUCAGGACACCCUAAUGGUGCACCGCUAUUAAGGGUUCGUUUGUUCAACGA